Molecule: ribosomal RNA, 429 nt
Filed under: Bacteroidota bacterium
Lineage: Bacteria; Pseudomonadati; Bacteroidota
Description: Bacteroidetes bacterium partial 16S ribosomal RNA
Rfam family: Bacterial small subunit ribosomal RNA
Source: RNAcentral
UAGGGAAUCUUCCGCAAUGGACGCAAGUCUGACGGAGCAACGCCGCGUGUGUGAAGAAGGAUUUCGGUUCGUAAAACUCUGUUGUUAGAGAAGAACAGCGCAUAGAGUAACUGUUAUGCGUGUGACGGUAUCUAACCAGAAAGCCACGGCUAACUACGUGCCAGCAGCCGCGGUAAUACGUAGGUGGCAAGCGUUGUCCGGAUUUAUUGGGCGUAAAGCGAGCGCAGGCGGUCAAUUAAGUCUGAUGUGAAAGCCCCCGGCUCAACCGGGGAGGGUCAUUGGAAACUGGUUGACUUGAGUGCAGAAGAGGAGAGUGGAAUUCCAUGUGUAGCGGUGAAAUGCGUAGAUAUAUGGAGGAACACCAGUGGCGAAGGCGACUCUCUGGUCUGUAACUGACGCUGAGGCUCGAAAGCGUGGGUAGCAAACAGG